AUUGAACGCUGGCGGCAUGCCUUACACAUGCAAGUCGAACGGCAGCACGGGAGCAAUCCUGGUGGCGAGUGGCGAACGGGUGAGUAAUAUAUCGGAACGUGCCCAGUCGUGGGGAUAACGUAGCGAAAGCUACGCUAAUACCGCAUACGUCCUACGGGAGAAAGCAGGGGACCUUCGGGCCUUGCGCUAUCAGAUGAGCCUAGGUCGGAUUAGCUAGUUGGUGGGGUAAUGGCUCACCAAGGCGACGAUCCGUAACUGGUCUGAGAGGAUGAUCAGUCACACUGGAACUGAGACACGGUCCAGACUCCUACGGGAGGCAGCAGUGGGGAAUAUUGGACAAUGGGCGCAAGCCUGAUCCAGCCAUGCCGCGUGUGUGAAGAAGGCCU
This 386-nucleotide ribosomal RNA is filed under the name uncultured bacterium. Its description in RNAcentral is "bacterial SSU rRNA". It matches the Rfam family "Bacterial small subunit ribosomal RNA", at positions 30 to 417 of the family's 1533-position model. The record is from RNAcentral.